Molecule: non-coding RNA, 23 nt
Filed under: Rattus norvegicus (Norway rat)
Lineage: Eukaryota; Metazoa; Chordata; Mammalia; Rodentia; Muridae
Source: RNAcentral
CUAUGAUAAUCUUACCUGGCUUU